Molecule: non-coding RNA, 566 nt
Organism: Malus domestica (apple)
Lineage: Eukaryota; Viridiplantae; Streptophyta; Magnoliopsida; Rosales; Rosaceae
Source: RefSeq, a predicted model, not a curated record
UCAAUUAGGUUUUUUCUUCCCCUUACCUUUCUGUUGGCUUUUCUCUCUCGCCGAUCUCUGCUUCGAUCCGUCUUAUUUUGCGUUCUGUUCUUCUAAAAGCUUGCGUUCCUCUCAAAUCCUCUGUACUUUAUUUCACAAAAUAUUCACGAAAUUGGCCUCUAAAGUUUUAUCCUUUGUUGUAAAAUCAUGCGUUCCUUCUUUUUGGUUUUUUGGGAUUUUGUUUGCGGUCUCCGUUUUCAAAGAAGUCGUGCAUCCCUGUGAACGUAGAUUUGUUGACGUUCUGUGGAAACUCAUAAAAUUGGUUUCCAAGGUUUUAUCCUGAACUUGCAAUCGCUGGGAAAACUUUGUGUCUCUUUUUGCGUCUGUCAUACCGGUGUUGUCGCCGGAUUUCCGACGAAUUUUCAGCCCAGUUUGGGAACGGCCUGUUUUCAGGUUAUUGUCCGAUAAAUUCCAUUGAACCCAGUGUUUUCGAGGCUUUGCUGGCUAAAAGAGGAUUCUGCCUUUGACGUCCUCUGUUGAAAAAUCUGAAAUUUGGCAGGAGCUGGAACCGUUGUUUUGGGUAUGGU